GAAGGAUUUCUCCUCUCAUCCACGUCCCUCUCCCACCAGGAAGGUGGGGCACAUGAAGUUGCUUACUAUACUGGAAGCAGCAUCAAUAACAGGACAAUGAUCCACCAACAUAUUCCUGCCAGGAAUUAUUUGCAGACAAAAACGAUCCAUCAAGUUACAAAGAGAAGCCUGACAGAAUAUAGGCUCAAUACAGCAGACUUUGCAGGAAUUUCUAUCAAUCCUAUCACAAUUCCGCCCUCCUACUGGAGCAGCACAGCCAUGAAUGCUGACCAGCAUCAACCAGCUGAUUAAGACACAAAUCUCAAUAUUACUAAUAAAACAGCAAGUGUCAGAAAUAA
Long non-coding RNA from Empidonax traillii (willow flycatcher), 338 nucleotides. RefSeq lists it as uncharacterized. NCBI's taxonomy places the organism in Eukaryota, Metazoa, Chordata, Aves, Passeriformes, Tyrannidae. The transcript is spliced from 2 exons. The record is from RefSeq and is a predicted model, not a curated record.